Molecule: ribosomal RNA, 483 nt
Filed under: uncultured bacterium
Lineage: Bacteria
Description: partial 16S ribosomal RNA
Rfam family: Bacterial small subunit ribosomal RNA
Source: RNAcentral
AUUGAACGCUGGCGGCAGGCCUAACACAUGCAAGUCGAGCGGAUGAAGGGAGCUUGCUCCUGGAUUCAGCGGCGGACGGGUGAGUAAUGCCUAGGAAUCUGCCUGGUAGUGGGGGAUAACGUCCGGAAACGGGCGCUAAUACCGCAUACGUCCUGAGGGAGAAAGUGGGGGUUUUUCGGCCCUCCCGCUAUCGAUUAACCUAGGUCGGAUUAGCUAGUUGGUGGGGUAAAGGCCUACCAAGGCGACGAUCCGUAACUGGUCUGAGAGGAUGAUCAGUCACACUGGAACUGAGACACGGUCCAGACUCCUACGGGAGGCAGCAGUGGGGAAUAUUGGACAAUGGGCGAAAGCCUGAUCCAGCCAUGCCGCGUGUGUGAAUAAGGUCUUCGGAUUGUAAAGCACUUUAAGUUGGGAGGAAGGGCAGUAAGUUAAUACCUUGCUGUUUUGACGUUACCAACAGAAUAAGCACCGGCUAACUUCGUG